GUGAAUCAUCGAAUCUUUGAACGCAAAUUGCACUCUCUGGCAUUCCGGAGAGCAUGCCUGUUUGAGGGUCAGUUUAAAUAAAAACCGAGGGGUUGCAGGUUUGUGACCCAGCGGAAUUGGGUUAGCUUUGACCUUUUAAAAAGCCUAAGUGACCUAAAAUCGAUACCUUGUGCAUCCCAGACGUACAUAAGAUUAUUUUUGUA
This 203-nucleotide unclassified non-coding RNA is filed under the name Glomeraceae sp. Its description in RNAcentral is "partial contains 5.8S ribosomal RNA and internal transcribed spacer 2". The stretch from base 1 to 71 matches the Rfam family "5.8S ribosomal RNA", at positions 84 to 154 of the family's 154-position model. The record is from RNAcentral. Lineage: Eukaryota; Fungi; Glomeromycota; Glomeromycetes; Glomerales; Glomeraceae.